This is a long non-coding RNA of Hippocampus zosterae (dwarf seahorse), 2462 nucleotides long. RefSeq lists it as uncharacterized. The transcript has 2 exons. NCBI's taxonomy places the organism in Eukaryota, Metazoa, Chordata, Actinopteri, Syngnathiformes, Syngnathidae. The record is from RefSeq and is a predicted model, not a curated record.
GGCCGAGGAAGACGACUGUCAACGAAAUGUCAAUGUUUACGUAAGCUAACACAUGCUAAAUUUCCUUACGUCACUCAGCUAGCAAGGCAAAAGCGUCCCAGCGAUCAGCAAGGUAGCCACCACCCUUAUGUGUAGGAGAAUGUGACACGGCUUCAUCGUGUCAACAUGAAGAGUUCUGGCAAUCUCCGCAGGAUUUAAAAACACUUCUCAGCACAGAGACAGGGCCGCGCAUGGACGUCCAUGCCUUCUGAGCACCUCUUCCGUCCCUUCCACUGCAGUGGGUGCGUGGAGCAGUCGACCGUUCAGCCCCUCCGCGAGCCCCAACCCCGGACUGUGACGUGGACGCGUGCGAACCCGACUCUCCUCGACGCCUUGCCUCGAUCGAUCAAUUUGGCCUGGGGCGGGGUGACUGAUAGCUCUCCAACAUACGCCUGUGUGCUGUGGAUUCCCUCAUUCAGCAAAGAUUAUUUUAAGACCAAUGUUUCUUUAAGAAUAGACUGCCUCAGUAUCAUCAUAAAAUAUACAGAUUGCAUAUCACAACACUAGAUAUACCACAACUUGUAGUAUAGCAGGGGCGUUACUCGACAUAAAACAACUGGGACACAGGGGCUGCAGGUCCUUUAGUACCGUUCCUAGUACAUUGGCCGCAACAACAGGUCCGCGGCCCGAUAUGAGUCUACGGACCACUCGGUACCAGGUUGCAGAUAUUUAGAAAAAAAUGUUCUGUAGCAGAGCAUAUGUGCCCCAAUUGUAAUAUAUCACCACUGCGGUAAUGUAAUAGCAGUCGGAUCAUGUACCGGUCUGUGGCAGAAAAAGGUUGAGGACCACUGCCCUACUAUAUCCCCUUCCACACACGCAGACACACGCGCACACACACGCACAUACACACGCAAAACACCACUGCUAACUCUUACUAAAACUACUACUUGUUAUAUAUAAUGGAUGUACGAAUAGAUGGGACGUUAAAUUGUCCCUAAUGAGGAUAAGCAGGGUGGAUGGAUAUUUCAACAACUGCGAACACUUUGAACACUACAACAAAAAACAUAACAAACCACUUUUUGUGUCACGCUACCACACAUCAAACUGCAUUGUGCGUUCCGCACUCCAGGGAGAGCUGUGUGCGUGGUGACCAGGAACGAGAUGGAAAAUCCUGAAUUUCAGGAACGUGUUUAUUUUCCCGAACAGCCAAUGGAAUACCCGGCUGGUCUAUGACAUCACGGCCAUGACUCAUGACGGCUGGUCGACAACAACCUUUCAAAGCAUGACGAACUUGUCUGUUUCUUGUUUUGCUGUACCGUCUAAUAUUUUCAUUUAAGUCCUUAAAUUCCAGUGUGGGUGAAUUCUGGUCCAUCUUAGAAAUCAAGCGCUGAAAUAAUUUUAAAUUGUGAAUGACGAGACGUAGGAUCUACGAGGAAGUGGAAUCAAGUCAUUCUGGUUUCAAAUACAGUACUGGCCCAAAUUAGAACAGGCACGAAGCAAAAUGAGACUAGGAUGAGCACCCACUCUGUCGAUGUCUACCCCAAGAUGUCAGUAAUGCCUAAGGCAUGGAGUUCAAUGAGACCAGCGGUCUGUAUCAGGGUUGCACAGUUGAUCUGCUCUGAGAUAAGAAAUUCUGAAUUUCCGGAUCCAGAAUCAAUUAAAUCAACUCGGAGUGUAUUUACCUGGAGUUCAGCGCCUAUUAAUUUAAAUAGACUAGUAUACAGAAUUGAAUGUUAAUUGAGCAUUUCAAAUUUAGCGGCACAUUGGUCGACUGGUCAGCAUAUCUCCCUUACAGUGCAGAGAUCCAGGUUUCAAUUCCAGCCCCGGCUUUCCUCUGUCGAGUUUGCAUGUUCUCACUGAGCUUGCAUGGGUUUUCUCUGGGUAUUCCGGUUUCCUCCCACAUUCCAAAAGAAAGCCUGAUAGGUUAAUUGGACACUAGUGUCCCACGGUGUGAUUGUGAGUAUGAAUGGUCGUUGUUUGCCUAUGUGUGCCCUUCGAUAGACUGGAAACCAGUUUAGGGUGUGCCCCGAGUGAACUGUGAACUGUAAAAACUACAUUUGGCUGUUAUGCUGCACACAAAUGGAAUAAACUGCCACAGGAGUGAAGUCAGAUCAGAGUGUAAAUGCUUUUAAAUAAAUUUUUUCUUUUAGUGAGAAAUCUACUUUUAUUUCCUCACUUUAAAAUAAUUUUAAAGUUUUCUCUAGAUGUGUUUGAAUGGUGUCAAUGUAUGUCCUGGCCAUUUUUGUUAAGUAACCUUUGUUUUCUAUGCUUUCCUUUUGAAUGUCGUUAACUGUUAUGUUUUUUAAUGUUUGGAGGUGGUGUGUCUUUGUGUGAAGCACAUUGAGUUGCCUUGUGUAUGAAAUUGCUAUAUAAACAAAUAAACUGCCUUGCCUUACAGUAGUACAUCACCACAAGUUACAAGGACAAAACGUUGAAUGAAUAACUCUUUUUAUAGUUUUAAUCAAAACUGACAAUUGAGGCAG